AUUCAAGUAAAAGCUAGUGAAAACUAUUUCAAGCUUUAUAUUCAUAUUAUUCUUUAUUUUAACAUGUGACCUUUUACCUAUAACAAUUUCAUCGAAAUUGUCUCCAUCCAUGUAAUUCAUUAAAUUUUACAAAGGUAAACUGAAAUCUCUAGAGUUCUUGUUCAAUUCUUGAAACAAUAAAAAAAUUUAAGAAAAAAUGAUUUGUUUAUGUGGAUAUAUCUUUGACAGAUUUUAUAACAUAAUUUUUCCUUUGUGCAUUAAUUAUAAGUAUAUAAGUAUAUUUAUUUCUAUUAUAAGAGACUCAAAUUUAAUACUUUGCAAUUUUGUUCUUACUUAAAGAAUGUAAAAAAAAAAUCAUAUACAAAGAGAUAUGAAGCCAUAAUUGCACCAACCAAAGGUCACUCUUUUAUUGAACUCAGAUAAAAUCGCAAAACCUGGAAAGAGAAUAUCCCCAAAGCCAAUCAAGCCAUAGCCAUAAUAAGGAUUAGAAGAUUAGAUAGUUGAGAACUCUUAGAAGCUACAAAAAAUUUAAAAAAAGAACUGAGUCAUAUUUCAUCCCAUACAGUUUAAAGAAAAACAUAUAUAGUAAAACUAUUUAAGAAAUAAAAGCUUAUCGCAAAGAACAAACAGAAGGGAACAUAAACAAAAUCCCAGAAUAUUGGAUACCAAUACAAGGAAUACCAACCAAAAAAUCUCAAAAAUAAGGAAGAGAUAAUCAAAUCACAAAAUCAGAGAGAGGCGAUUUACCUCUGGCAGUAAUAGAAAUAAGAGAAACAGAAACUGAAGGGAAAAAUUAAAAUACUGAAGAGCAAAGGAAGAAUUUUACCUUGGGCGAGGGGAGGAAGAAGAGGAGAAGAAGAAGACCCUGUAAGGGAAGAGAAGAUUUGCGAUAAGGAUUAAGAGAAGAGCCAUUUAAGAGCAGUAAAAGAAGCAAUCGUUUCUUUUAUAGGGAAAAUAAGCGAAUGUUAAGUUUUCUUUAUUGAAAAACUUUUUU
Molecule: long non-coding RNA, 994 nt
Filed under: Nicotiana tabacum (common tobacco)
Lineage: Eukaryota; Viridiplantae; Streptophyta; Magnoliopsida; Solanales; Solanaceae
Description: long non-coding RNA (NTAB_LNC000860)
Source: RNAcentral